RNAcentral lists this ribosomal RNA (497 nucleotides) under uncultured bacterium. RNAcentral's name for it is "partial 16S ribosomal RNA". It matches the Rfam family "Bacterial small subunit ribosomal RNA", at positions 28 to 507 of the family's 1533-position model. The record is from RNAcentral.
GAUGAACGCUGGCGGCGUGCCUAAUACAUGCAAGUCGAGCGAACAGAUGAGGAGCUUGCUCCUCUGACGUUAGCGGCGGACGGGUGAGUAACACGUGGAUAACCUACCUAUAAGACUGGGAUAACUUCGGGAAACCGGAGCUAAUACCGGAUAAUAUCUUGAACCGCAUUGUUCAAUAGUGAAAGACGGUGUUGCUGGCACUUAUCGAUGGAUCCGCGCCGCAUUAGCUAGUUGGUAAGGUAACGGCUUACCAAGGCAACGAUGCCUAGCCGACCUGAGAGGGUGAUCGGCCACACUGGAACUGAGACACGGUCCAGACGCCUACGGGAGGCAGCAGUAGGGAAUCUUCCGCAAUGGGCGAAAGCCUGACGGAGCAACGCCGCGUGAGUGAUGAAGGUCUUCGGAUCGUAAAACUCUGUUAUUAGGGAAGAACAAAUGUGUAAGUAACUGUGCACGUCUUGACGGUACCUAAUCAGAAAGCCACGGCUAACUACGUG